Molecule: long non-coding RNA, 3297 nt
Filed under: Marmota monax (woodchuck)
Lineage: Eukaryota; Metazoa; Chordata; Mammalia; Rodentia; Sciuridae
Source: RNAcentral
GUGAAAUCAGUUGCAACUGAAAAUGUCUGACAGUCUGGAUAAUGAAGAAAAACCCCCAGCUCCCCCAUUGAGGAUGAAUAGUAACAACCGGGAUUCUUCCGCACUCAACCACAGCUCCAAACCACUUCCCAUGGCCCCUGAAGAGAAGAAUAAGAAAGCCAGGCUUCGCUCUAUCUUCCCAGGAGGAGGGGAUAAAAGUAAAGUAUCAGUGGUCGGGCAUUGAAAAGGGGCUAGUUUAUUAUUUCAUUGUCACUUUUUUUCCUCAUGUAGUCAUUUCUUAAGCCAUUGGCUGUUCAGGGCCUGCCUGCCAUUUACAUCUACAUCUUCCAAGGUUGCUUUUUUGUCAGAGGAUCAUGUUUGAUGGACUUACUGUGGGUUGACAGAAAAAUAUAUGUAUGCUAUGUUUGCUUUUCAGAGAAAAUUGAAUUCAUAGAGUUAAGUCAUGGGGAAUCAUAGCAAUGGUAUUGUCUUGAAUAUAUAAACAGUGACUUUCUGAUAACUUAGACUAGAAUUUACAAUAAUACCUUCGUAACUGUAAGUUGUCCUUUUUGAAAAUUUGAAUAUAGGUGAUUUUACUUCUGUAUAUGUUUUUGGGAACUGAACAUAUUCAACUGAGUGUAUGGGAGUCACUCCAAGUCACCACAGUGUUGUCUCUCUGACUGUGUUACAAGGUGGGAAGAAACCGAGUCAUUCGUUUCUUUUUUUGGUCUUCUACCAGUGGUCUCCUACACAAUCAGCCUUAUGUGCACUGAGUAUCACAAUAUAUUAUCAUUUAUCCAUGUGGUGUUCAUAAUGCCAUUUUGAUGCUUAAAUAUCAUAUGCUAAACAUUUGUGACAUUUGGGGAUAUAAAAUUCCUAGUAAACAACUUUCAGAUUGUAUUAAUAAUCGUAAAGCUGGAACAUGGUUUCCAUAGAUGUGAUUACUGAGGCAUAUAUGAGUAAAGCCGGUACAAGGCCAUUGGCAUCACAGAAAGUGGCCAAAAGGGUAAGAAAGGUGAUGUCUGUAGAAGAGAAAAAGGCACAUUCUUGACCUGCUUCUUCAAUGAAAACAAGUAGCUAUAUAGGUUGAUUAUAUGGUGUUAGUGAGUCAACAAUGGAUAUUAUAAGGACAAUUGAAACUCUUAUCAUAUGCCUACAAGGUACUUUAUAUUUUAUGCCUGAAAGAUGGAAAAGAGGCAAAUUACAUUAAACCUCUGAAUUGAAGAUAAGCAAAUGAAUAACAGAACACUUUUCAUGCAAGGGAUCUGUGACCAUACAAGAGGAGUUUUAAAAAAUAUAUAUAUAUUUACAGACCCCGAAGUGGAUCUGGGANCCACUCAAAGACAGAAUCAAGGGAUCAAGAAGAAUCUAUGGACAAGGAUACACAUGUGGCACAGGAUAUAUCACCAAAUAAGUUGAAUUUAACCUGUUCAUACUAAUUUAAAUGAUGUGGUACUCCUAUAGUAUGAUCCUCAGGAAGUCAACAGUACCCUAGAGGUGAUUAUUAUAAAUGACAAUGAAGACAAUUAGGUGGUUUUCAGAUUAGAAACAGAGGCAGUUAUAAACAACAGAUGCAAUUUCUUUAGAACCAUAUUAAAUACUCUUAUGGAAAGAACUGAAAAUUGGUACCUUUACAUGUCAUAGCUUACCAGUCUAAAGCUUGAGUGAUUUAGCAGAAUUCUAAAAAUAGGUGCUAUGAUGCCUUCAAAAACAAUCACAUUAGACAGGAUCCACCUUCAACAGUACUUAAAUAAUCAAGUGCCAUUUAAUACCAUUGCUGAACAGCUGAUAAGCUACCUCAGACAAAGAUGAAUGAUUUAAGUGAACAUUUAAAAAAGGUUCUAAGUGUGUUUAUAUUAUAAAGACCAUACUGGGAAGAAAGCAAUGCCAGAAAAGCCUAAGUCAUCAGGUUAUUGCCAUUUAAAUACCUUUAAUGGAGGGCUGAUAAGUUGCCUUCAGACAAGGCUUGAAUGAUUUAUAAUUGAACUCUGUUCAGAAGUGCUAAGGUGUCUUCAAAAAAGUCUUAAGAAGACAGACAUCUUCAGAAGGGCCAAAGUCAUUAAGUAGUGCCACUUAAAUUCACCUGAUGAAUAGAGUUAAAGCUGAAAGCAAUAUAUGUUACAACUUCAGGAUUAGAUUUUAGUGACUCUUGAGAACACAGAUAUCCAUGAUUUGAACUAACAGUUCAAAUGUUCACUGUUCAUUGCCUCUUUGUCACCCUCAUUUUCCACCACCAUAAUAAAUGAUAGAUACAUCCUCAUCACCUCUGGGAAUCAUAUCAGGAUCUAAAUGGAAACUGAAGAACCUAUCAUUUUUACUAAUUGAAACUAUGUAAACUCUCAAUUUUAUGUAAUAAAUUGUUAUUGUUUUAUUUUAUUGCACAUAGAACAUUUUUAAGGGCUUUCAAAAGUUCAUUUGUGACUUCGUUCCUUCUAAUUUUUUUUCCUCCUAAAACUAUGAUUCUCCCAGCUCAACUCUGCUAUCUUGGGUUUGUCUACAUACCUGACUCUCAUGGGUGGGGAAGAAUUACAAUUUUUGUUCAGUCUUAAGCUCACAGAAAGAGCAUUGGAACUGGGUUCUGGAGAGCCAGGUUUGCAUCCAGCUCUGCCUGAAAUGAUUGCGUCUUUGAGCUAGUCAUUUAGCUUCUGUGAGCCUCAGUUUUAUCACCGAUGAAAUGAGGAUAAUACUACCUGGUCUAUUUCACAAGAUAUUUGUGAUAAUCAAAUGUAAUUGUGUAUACCAGAUGCUACUAAAAGUAAAAUUAAAAAGUGCUACAUAGCUGGGCAUGAUGAUGCAAACCUGUAAUCCAAGCUACUCAGGAAAUUAAGGCAAGGGAUUGUGAGUUGAAAGCUAGCUUGGGAAACUCAGCAAGACUCUGUCUCAAAACAAAAAUUUUACAAAGUGCUAGAUAAUUGUGAAGUGUCAACUUAGUAUUUCAGACCUUCCAGACAAACACUAAAAAGCCCUAUUUUCAAAUUAUUGUUUCUUUCUAAAUAAUUUUCUUCAUAAAUAGAAUUUACAUGUCAAUUAGAAUUUAAAAAGAAAAUAAAAAUUGCUCAUAAUUUCAUAAGCCAAAGGUAACUGCAUUGGUACUUUUCCACAUACUUUUUUUCUCAUCAAAUAAAAAUUGUUCAUCAAUGUCAAAGACUUGGAAAAUAAAAACAAACAUAUAGAAAAUAAUAAAAUAUCACCCACAAUUGUAAAUCCUAGAAUCAAUGUCAACAUUUUGGUGGAUUUCUUAUAUAUGCUAUUUAUGCACAUAUAUAUUUUCCUACAUUCUUAAAUUCAUAAUGUGUACAGUUUUGUAUUCUUUUCAUU